UCUCCCCUCUUCAUGUCCAAGAAGUUGGACGUUCAUCUGGCAUAGGUGCAAGGCAUGGUGACGCCUGGAACAGAAGGCUGCAGGACUUCUUCGACAGGCUGCUGCUCCAACUUCAGAAGGAGUUCUGAAGUACAUUCAAAUCAGAUAUUGAUCUGAUUUUUGGAGUGUAGAAUUGUGAGGAGAAGAUGUUCCAGAUCCUACCUGAGUGGAUUCUGGUAGAGGCCAGGCAC
Molecule: long non-coding RNA, 230 nt
Filed under: Elaeis guineensis (African oil palm)
Lineage: Eukaryota; Viridiplantae; Streptophyta; Magnoliopsida; Arecales; Arecaceae
Description: long non-coding RNA (EGUI_LNC070113)
Source: RNAcentral